CUUGUCCAUAUUUUGGCUGACCAUUUCCCUCUUGGCUCUCGUGUCUUCGGAACUCUGUGGAAGCUUGCCGUUAUUACUGCCACCGUUGCAAUUUGUGCAUGUCUUAUUUACCUCUGGAGAGUUGUCCUUGCUUUAAUGUACAGCAAAAAACUGCAAAGAGCAACACGUUGGAGAAAGAAAACACAGAGCUGGCUGAAGCAAUAUCCAUGUGGGAACAGAAGAUACAUCUUCAAGAAGCUAAGAGAGAAAGUAACAUUCACUCUGCUGAAGCUCUUAAGUUGAAAUCAGAAGAUGCAAACGGUCAGUUGGAGGAACUGAGACCCUGGAGGUCCAAUAAACGUGCACUGGAAGCAUGGAAAAAGGCCGCGGAAGACCUUCAUAAUGAUUUGAGGUCUAUUAAAGCAAUCAGGGAAGAAACAGCCAAAAGGCUGAAGGAUACAGGAGACAUCCUUCAUAAAUUCUAUGAAGAAAGAAAAAUGGCUACAGCAAAGAAUCUGGAUAUGACAAACUGUGAACUAGUGGCAAUGAAGAAUCAGAUGGCAACUGCAGAGGAAAAUCUGAAAAUAGCUACAAGGGACAUACACAAGUGCAACAUUGACCUGCCCAUGUAGAAACUUCAUCCAUGCCAACGUUCCUGAGGGGUGGUGUCAGUUGUCAUAAUCUAGAGGAAAGCAGUGUGUCAUAGGAUGAAAUCCUAUCCAUCAACAAGGUAGUACCAUCUGAUGGUCCUGGUCUUUGCAACCCUAGGAAACCUG
This 755-nucleotide long non-coding RNA is filed under the name Felis catus (domestic cat). RNAcentral's name for it is "lncRNA (ENSFCAG00000046981.1)". Lineage: Eukaryota; Metazoa; Chordata; Mammalia; Carnivora; Felidae. The record is from RNAcentral.